GAAGGUAUACCUCAAGUGGUAGAGCAUGUGCUUAGCAUGCACGAGGUCCUGGAUUCAAUCUCUAGUAUCUUCU
Molecule: transfer RNA, 73 nt
Filed under: Camelus bactrianus (Bactrian camel)
Lineage: Eukaryota; Metazoa; Chordata; Mammalia; Artiodactyla; Camelidae
Also listed under: 1 other name
Rfam family: tRNA
About the family: Transfer RNA (tRNA) molecules are approximately 80 nucleotides in length.
Source: Rfam by way of RNAcentral